This 573-nucleotide ribosomal RNA is filed under the name Halomonas caseinilytica. RNAcentral describes it as "bacterial SSU rRNA". It matches the Rfam family "Bacterial small subunit ribosomal RNA", at positions 61 to 625 of the family's 1533-position model. The record is from RNAcentral. Lineage: Bacteria; Pseudomonadati; Pseudomonadota; Gammaproteobacteria; Oceanospirillales; Halomonadaceae.
GUCGAGCGGAAACGAUCCUAGCUUGCUAGGAGGCGUCGAGCGGCGGACGGGUGAGUAAUGCAUAGGAAUCUGCCCGGUAGUGGGGGAUAACCUGAGGAAACUCAGGCUAAUACCGCAUACGUCCUACGGGAGAAAGCAGGGGCUCUUCGGACCUUGCGCUAUCGGAUGAGCUUAUGUCGGAUUAGCUGGUUGGUGAGGUAACGGCUCACCAAGGCGACGAUCCGUAGCUGGUCUGAGAGGAUGAUCAGCCACAUCGGGACUGAGACACGGCCCGAACUCCUACGGGAGGCAGCAGUGGGGAAUAUUGGACAAUGGGGGCAACCCUGAUCCAGCCAUGCCGCGUGUGUGAAGAAGGCCCUCGGGUUGUAAAGCACUUUCAGUGAGGAAGAAGGCUUGUCGGUUAAUACCCGGCAAGAAAGACAUCACUCACAGAAGAAGCACCGGCUAACUCCGUGCCAGCAGCCGCGGUAAUACGGAGGGUGCGAGCGUUAAUCGGAAUUACUGGGCGUAAAGCGUGCGUAGGCGGCUUGAUAAGCCGGUUGUGAAAGCCCCGGGCUCAACCUGGGAACGGCA